RNAcentral lists this ribosomal RNA (462 nucleotides) under Ixodes granulatus. RNAcentral describes it as "partial 16S ribosomal RNA". The stretch from base 132 to 462 matches the Rfam family "Bacterial large subunit ribosomal RNA", at positions 2048 to 2619 of the family's 2925-position model. The record is from RNAcentral. Lineage: Eukaryota; Metazoa; Arthropoda; Arachnida; Ixodida; Ixodidae.
CUGCUCAAUGAUUUUUUAAAUUGCUGUGGUAUUUUGACUAUACGAAGGUAUUGAAAUAAGAUUUUAAAUGAGUGCUAAGAGAAUGGUUGAACAAUUAUAAGCUUUCUUUAAUUUAAUAAUUAAAUUUAAUUUUUUUGUGAAGAAGCAAAAAUAAAAAUUAGGGACAAGAAGACCCUAUGAAUUUUAAUUUAUUUAUUAUAUAAAAUGUGUUAAAUAAAUUUAAUUGGGGUGAUUGGAAAAGAAUAAAUAUCUUUUUUUAAAAUAAUUUUUUAAAUUGGUUCCGUUUUUAGCGAUUAAAUGAAAAAAAUACUCUAGGGAUAACAGCGUAAUAAUUUUGGAUAGUUCAUAUUGAUAAAAUAGUUUGCGACCUCGAUGUUGGAUUAGGAUUCUUUUUUGGUGAAGAAGUUAUAAAAAGAAGUUUGUUCAACUUUUAAUUUCCUACUUGAUCUGAGUUCAGACCGG